ACGCAGAUGUCCCUCGGUGUGUCCGUGC
This 28-nucleotide small RNA is filed under the name Bombyx mori (domestic silkworm). RNAcentral's name for it is "ovarian small RNA-2498". Lineage: Eukaryota; Metazoa; Arthropoda; Insecta; Lepidoptera; Bombycidae. The record is from RNAcentral.